RNAcentral lists this ribosomal RNA (253 nucleotides) under uncultured bacterium. RNAcentral's name for it is "partial 16S ribosomal RNA". It matches the Rfam family "Bacterial small subunit ribosomal RNA", at positions 524 to 776 of the family's 1533-position model. The record is from RNAcentral.
UACGGAGGGUGCAAGCGUUAUCCGGAUUCACUGGGUUUAAAGGGUGCGUAGGUGGAGUGGUAAGUCAGUGGUGAAAUCUCCAAGCUUAACUUGGAAACUGCCGUUGAUACUAUCAUUCUUGAAUAUCGUGGAGGUAAGCGGAAUAUGUCAUGUAGCGGUGAAAUGCUUAGAUAUGACAUAGAACACCGAUUGCGAAGGCAGCUUGCUACACGAUCAUUGACACUGAGGCACGAAAGCGUGGGGAGCAAGCAGG